This 497-nucleotide ribosomal RNA is filed under the name uncultured bacterium. RNAcentral's name for it is "partial 16S ribosomal RNA". It matches the Rfam family "Bacterial small subunit ribosomal RNA", at positions 28 to 507 of the family's 1533-position model. The record is from RNAcentral.
GAUGAACGCUGGCGGCGUGCCUAAUACAUGCAAGUCGAGCGAACAGACGAGGAGCUUGCUCCUCUGACGUUAGCGGCGGACGGGUGAGUAACACGUGGAUAACCUACCUAUAAGACUGGGAUAACUUCGGGAAACCGGAGCUAAUACCGGAUAAUAUAUUGAACCGCAUGGUUCAAUAGUGAAAGACGGUUUUGCUGUCACUUAUAGAUGGUUCCGCGCUGCAUUAGCUAGUUGGUAAGGUAACGGCUUACCAAGGCAACGAUGCGUAGCCGACCUGAUAGGGGGAUCGGCCACAUGGGAACUGAGACACGGUCCAGACUCCUAAGGGAGGCAGCAGUAGGGAAUCGGCCGCAAUGGGCGAAAGCUUGACGGAGCAACGCCGAGUGAGUGAUGAAGGUCUUCGGAUCGUAAAACUCUGUUAUGAGUGAAGAACAAAUGUGUAAGUAACUAUGCACGUCUUGACGGUACCUAAUCAGAAAGCCACGGCUAACUACGUG